RNAcentral lists this ribosomal RNA (774 nucleotides) under uncultured Neocallimastigales. RNAcentral's name for it is "partial large subunit ribosomal RNA". It matches the Rfam family "Eukaryotic large subunit ribosomal RNA", at positions 22 to 645 of the family's 3401-position model. Lineage: Eukaryota; Fungi; Neocallimastigomycota; Neocallimastigomycetes; Neocallimastigales. The record is from RNAcentral.
GUACACGCUGUGACUAGCAUAUCAAUAAGCGGAGGAAAAGAAACUAACAAGGACUCCCCUAGUAACGGCGAGUGAAGCGGGAAGAGCUCAAAUUUGAAAUCUUAAAGGGUUUCCCUUUACGAAUUGUAGUUUAAAGAAGUGUUUUCUGUUGAGGUUUUGGUAAAAGUUCUUUGGAAUAGGACAUCAUAGAGGGUGAGAAUCCCGUAUUUGACCUUUACUUUCAACUUUGUGAUACACUUUCAAAGAGUCGGAUUGUUUGGGAAUGCAGUCCAAAAUGGGUGGUAAAUUUCAUCUAAAGCUAAAUAUUGGCGAGAGACCGAUAGCGAACAAGUACCGUGAGGGAAAGAUGAAAAGAACUUUGAAAAGAGAGUUAAACAGUACGUGAAAUUGUCAAAAGGGAAGCGUUUGACACCAGUGUUGUUUUUCUGAAAAUCAAUUAAAGAACUGUUUAUGCUAAGUUGUUUAGACUUUAUCAGCUAACUGUUUAGUUUUGAGCUUUUCUUUAAUGCACUUUUCAGUUAACAAGUCAACAUCAAUUUCUUUUGCUGUAAAAAAGCUUGAGGAAGGUGGCUUGAGAUUCGUCUUAAGUGUUUAUAGCCUCUUGCCUAUGCAGUCGGAGAGAUUGAGGUCUGCAGCGUAGAUCCUUCGGGGCUAAAUGCAUUUGUGCUAAGUUAUAGCAUUUUAUAGACAACUUGUUGACUAUGAUUUGUCUUGUAGCUUACUCGCUUAUGUUAUUUUACCUACGCUUAGGAUGUUGAAGUCAUCGUAUCGCGC